CAGAGGGUGCAAGCGUUAAUCGGAAUUACUGGGCGUAAAGCGAGCGUAGGUGGCUUGAUAAGUCAGAUGUGAAAGCCCCGGGCGUUAACCUGGGAACGGCAUCUGAUACUGUUGAGCUAGAGUAGGUGAGAGGAAGGUAGAAUUCCAGGUGUAGCGGUGAAAUAGCGUAGAGAUCUGGAGGAAUACCGAUGGCGAAGGCAGCCUUCUGGCAUCAUACUGACACUGAGGCUCGAAAGCGUGGGUAGCAAACAGGAUU
RNAcentral lists this ribosomal RNA (256 nucleotides) under uncultured bacterium. RNAcentral's name for it is "partial 16S ribosomal RNA". It matches the Rfam family "Bacterial small subunit ribosomal RNA", at positions 526 to 779 of the family's 1533-position model. The record is from RNAcentral.